GUGCCAGCAGCCGCGGUAAUACUUGUUCCGAUAGUGUGUAUGAUGAUUGAUGCAGUUAAAAAGUCUGUAGUUUAUUUAUAAUAAGCAUUGUAAGGUAUACUGUAUGGUUAGGAGAGAGAUGAAAUGUGAUAACCCUAACUGGAUGAACAGAAGCGAAAGCUGUAUACUUAAAUGUAUUAUUAGAACAAGGACGUAAGCUAGAGGAUCGAAGAUGAUUAGAUACCAUUGUAGUUCUAGCAGUAAACUAUGUUGAAUCAUAGAUAUAUUUUGAUAUAUAUUUAUGUAGAGAAAUUAAGAUUAUAUUGACUCUGGGGAUAGUAUGAUCGCAAGAUUGAAAAUUAAAGAAAUUGACGGAAGAAUACCACAAGGAGUGGAUUGUGCGGCUUAAUUUGACUCAACGCGGGGUAAUUUACCAGGUAUAACAUGGUAAAAUAUUUUAUCAUGAUAGUGGUGCAUGGCCGUUUCCAAUGGAUGCUGUGAAGUAAUGAUUAAUUUCAACAAGAUGUGAGACCCUCAUUUAGACAGAUGUAGUGAUACAUAUGAAGGAGAGGAUUAAAACAGGUCCGUUAUGCCCUAAGAUAAUCUGGGUUGCACGCGCAAUACAAUAAUAUUUGAUAUUAUAAGGGAUAAUAUAAUGUAAGAUAUAUUUGAACAUGGAAUUGCUAGUAAAUUUUAUUUAAUAAGUAGAAUUGAAUGAGUCCCUGUUCUUUGUACACA
This 717-nucleotide ribosomal RNA is filed under the name Microsporidium sp. ZYS-1. Its description in RNAcentral is "bacterial SSU rRNA". It matches the Rfam family "Microsporidia small subunit ribosomal RNA", at positions 390 to 1191 of the family's 1311-position model. The record is from RNAcentral. Lineage: Eukaryota; Fungi; Microsporidia.